RNAcentral lists this ribosomal RNA (406 nucleotides) under uncultured bacterium. RNAcentral describes it as "bacterial SSU rRNA". It matches the Rfam family "Bacterial small subunit ribosomal RNA", at positions 355 to 776 of the family's 1533-position model. The record is from RNAcentral.
UUGGGAAUAUUGGGCAAUGGACGCAAGUCUGACCCAGCAACGCCGCGUGAAGGAAGAAGGCUUUCGGGUUGUAAACUUCUUUUAAGGGGGAAGAGCAGAAGACGGUACCACUUGAAUAAGCCACGGCUAACUACGUGCCAUCAGCCGCUGUAAUACGUAGGUGGCAAGCGUUGUCCGGAUUUACUGGGUGUAAAGGGCGUGCAGCCGGAGAGACAAGUCAGAUGUGAAAUCCACGGGCUCAACCCGUGAACUGCAUUUGAAACUGUUUCCCUUGAGUGUCGGAGAGGUAAUCGGAAUUCCUUGUGUAGCGGUGAAAUGCGUAGAUAUAAGGAAGAACACCAGUGGCGAAGGCGGAUUACUGGACGAUAACUGACGGUGAGGCGCGAAAGCGUGGGGAGCAAACAGG